UUGAUUGAAGGAAGACCUCUGGUCCAGGCUGGACCAAUCAGAGUAGUUCUCUAAGACAAUUUUUCCAACUGCAACUUAAAUUCCGGCCCUCUUUGGAGGUGGAAGCCUGGUAUGUGAGUCUUGGGAGCUGUCAGUGCCAUGCGGAGGGAUCUUGAUUGCAGAAGGAGAAUGAAUCCAACAGACUCUGAAGAAUGGGUCCAAGUCAAGGCUUUGGAGGAGAAAGAACACACUGGAGACUGAUAAGCCGACUUUUGGUGACAAGAGGAUUGAUGAGUCUCCCAAACCCACAAAAAUGGAGCGAAGGAGUGAAAAGAAAAAAAAAAGCAUAAAUCCACAAGGGCCAAAAUCAAUGGACGAGAACUCAGAGGAGAGAAUACACAACUUUGCUACAGCUGUGAAUAAAAUGAAAGGUCACCAGAAUGGAAACCCUAAAUGUGGAUUUAGGGUUUGUGAGCGGGAUGAGGGGUGAGGUGGAAUGUGUGGGAGGCAGUGCGCAGGAGAGCCCUGGUGUUGGGGGAACGCUGACUGAAACUGCCCACCCUAGUCAGGCAUCGCAGUAACCGUGUGUGUGAGGUACUUUAUGAUAGGGAGAUCCUGGUAAGGAACACAGGACUAAUAAGCCACCACCGAAAGGUCAAAAAGGAGACACCAGCCCAUAUGUCUUACCAACAGAUGGUAAGAAUUACCCAGAAUCCUCCUCGCUGGCAUCCAUCUUGGCUGAACAAUGCAGGCACCACCAGGAAGGACCCUGAGUCAGAGUGAUUGGCCAGAGACAGGAGACUAAUAGCAUCACCAUAAUACCAGCUAGAUGGGAGAAAAGUCCUCCUGGGUUCCCUUACCCUCCUGCUCUCCGCCCAGCUGCCCCCACCCAAUAAAGUCUCUCGUUUAGUCAGCACGUGUGUAUCCUUGAACAAUCAUUUCCUGGUGUCAGACAAGAGCCCUCUCUCCGGCCCCAGAAGGGGUCUUCCUUUCUGUAACCCUAGAUCUUGCUUUUCCGCUAGGAAGGCAAUAGGCACUAUCUAAAACUGAAAAAUCGAGCUGUAGUUGAGUAGGCUUAUAUUUCAAAACUACAGAGUAAGUACCAGAAAAAACAAAAGCAGAGGCCUCAGAAGUGCAGAGGGCUACAUCAGGGAUUCCCGC
Bubalus bubalis (water buffalo) is the source of this 1140-nucleotide long non-coding RNA. RefSeq lists it as uncharacterized. NCBI's taxonomy places the organism in Eukaryota, Metazoa, Chordata, Mammalia, Artiodactyla, Bovidae. The record is from RefSeq and is a predicted model, not a curated record. The transcript is spliced from 2 exons.